CCAAUAGCGUAUAUUAAAGUUGUUGCAGUUAAAAAGCUCGUAGUUGAAUUUCGGGAUCGAAUUGUUGGUCGUGCUUCGGUACGCACUGGCAUUAUUGGUUCCUACCUUCUGAAGAACCGCGAUGUCAUUAAUUUGGUGUCGUGGGGAAUCAGGACUGUUACUUUGAAAAAAUUAGAGUGUUUAAAGCAGGCUUACGCUUGAAUACAUUAGCAUGGAAUAAUGAAAUAGGACGUUUGAUUCUAUUUUGUUGGUUUCUAGGAUCGACGUAAUGAUUAAUAGGGAUAGUUGGGGGCAUUAGUAUUCAAUUGUCAGAGGUGAAAUUCUUGGAUUUAUUGAAGACUAACUACUGCGAAAGCAUUUGCCAAGGAUGUUUUCAUUAAUCAAGAACGAAAGUUAGGGGAUCGAAGACGAUCAGAUACCGUCGUAGUCUUAACCAUAAACUAUGCCGACUAGGGAUCGGAUGAUGUUAAUUUUAUAAUGACUCAUUCGGCGCCUUACG
Molecule: unclassified non-coding RNA, 499 nt
Filed under: uncultured Glomus
Lineage: Eukaryota; Fungi; Glomeromycota; Glomeromycetes; Glomerales; Glomeraceae
Description: SSU rRNA
Rfam family: Eukaryotic small subunit ribosomal RNA
Source: RNAcentral